UAUCAAUUCUAUAUUCACAUCCAAUUAAUCUCAGUUAAUCACAACAAAAUCAAUUAAUAUCCAUAAGCUAAGAUUUGCAUGAAACUUAAAAGGGGAUUAGGUUUUUAUUACUUGUGACUAUUGAAAUUAAGAGUCUCAGCUCUCCCUCUCUGCUCAAUCUCAGCGGCGGCCGGAUCCUCUUCUCCGAUCGGAGUUCUAACGACGCCACCGUGAAUGUAUCGACCAUCCUCCUACGUCUCAACUUCCCUACACGAUUCCUCUCGUUUUACUCUCAAACAGUUGUUCUCUCGAUCACCUAUGGCGGCGACGGCGGCCGGAUUCAUCUCACUUUCUCUCUGGUGUCUUUCGCACUUCCUCUUCUCCGACUACUUCCGACUUCAUCUUUCAUAGACCGCUUCUCAUCUCGAUUUAUUUCUGUCGGAGGCGCUAUGAACUUGUUGAUGAUGGAGAAAGAAAUCCGAAUAACAAUCCACGAAUUCAGUGACGUUGCAAUUGUUGAAUCACGUGGAUAUUCGUUGAACAUUGCCGAUUGAAGAUGAUGAUUGAAGGUUAUAGGUUCUUGCGGUUUCAAAGCAGGAAGACGAAGAUGAAUACGAUGCCGUUUAGAUGUUGUUACGGCGUUGAUGCGAAGCAAUUCAGAGAGAAUUCCGAGAGUGAUUUUUCUGAGUUUUUGACGGAGAACUGAGUGAGUUUGAUUGAAUGUGACGAACACGCUUCAGAGGGAGAGAAAGAGAGUUUGUUACAUUUUUCUUGUUUUCAUUUUCUGUUAUGCAGGCGAGUCCUUUUCUGAUUUUUGGUUAUCUUCUUUUUUGUGAAUUUUCUCAGUUUCUGCUACAGGUUUUUGUUGAAGAUUGAAGGAGAUCAUGAUUUUGUGAAAUAGAUGAAGAAUAUGGAUGAAGAGGUGGAGAUUGAAGAGAGUAUCUGUUGAUUUACGUGAGAUGAUUUUGUUCUCCUCUCCUUUGUUGCAGAGAAUCGAAGAAUGAAGUGAGCGUUUCCGUUAUGAUGUGGUAUUUGGUUUACAAUAUGCAGAACCGGUCUUGGCUUGGUGCGACGAACAUGAUAUGGCUUGUAACUUGAAGAUGGCAAAGAAUUGGAUCGAGAAUUGGCAUAGCACGAAGAUUAGCGCAUGGGCUUGGGGACAAUUUUGAUGUAAUUUUUUAUGGUUUUGUAAAUGGGCUUUUGUAAUUUAGAUAUGUAUGGACUUUUGAAUAUUUUCUUGUAAUGAACAUGGACUUGGAUUUUAGUAAAGGGAUUUGAAAUGAAUAUAUGGACACUUGAACAAUUGAGUGAUUGUUUGAAAUGGAACAUUGUUGACUAAUGACAUUUCUUUUUCAUUUUGAAUGAACUUGAUGAAUCUUGAGAUCAUGUCUUACAACCUUGAAUCACGUUGAACUUUGCUUUUGUAACAUGAACUCCAAAUAAUUCAUACUUCAAUCCGAUUAAGCACGAACCUUAAGAACUCCCGCCCCCAAGUAAUCACUAAUGAACUGAAUCCUCAAUCUAAUGAAAGUUGGUCCUUGAUUCUCCAACCAUCAAUGGUUUACAUUUCGACCAACCAAUCAACUUGAA
Vicia villosa (hairy vetch) is the source of this 1569-nucleotide long non-coding RNA. RefSeq lists it as uncharacterized. The record is from RefSeq and is a predicted model, not a curated record. NCBI's taxonomy places the organism in Eukaryota, Viridiplantae, Streptophyta, Magnoliopsida, Fabales, Fabaceae. The transcript is spliced from 3 exons.